RNAcentral lists this ribosomal RNA (310 nucleotides) under uncultured bacterium. Its description in RNAcentral is "bacterial SSU rRNA". It matches the Rfam family "Bacterial small subunit ribosomal RNA", at positions 46 to 349 of the family's 1533-position model. The record is from RNAcentral.
GCCUAACACAUGCAAGUCGAGGGGUAACAUGGAGUGCUUGCACUCCGAUGACGACCGGCGCACGGGUGCGCACCGCGUAUGGAACCUGCCCUUUGCAGGGGAAUAGCCCAGAGAAAUUUGGAUUAAUGCCCCGUGGUACCGUAACCUCUCCUGAGGACUCGGUUAAAGCCUUCGGGCGGCAAAGGAUGGCCAUGCGUCCCAUUAGUUAGUUGGUAAGGUAACGGCUUACCAAGACCGCGAUGGGUAGGGGCCCUGAGAGGGGGAUCCCCCACACUGGUACUGAGACACGGACCAGACUCAUACGGGAGGC